RNAcentral lists this ribosomal RNA (301 nucleotides) under uncultured bacterium. RNAcentral's name for it is "partial 16S ribosomal RNA". It matches the Rfam family "Bacterial small subunit ribosomal RNA", at positions 509 to 809 of the family's 1533-position model. The record is from RNAcentral.
CAGCCGCCGCGGGAAAACAGAGGGUGCGAGCGUUAAUCGGAUUUACUGGGCGUAAAGCGUGCGUAGGCGGCUUCUUAAGUCGGAUGUGAAAUCCCUGAGCUUAACUUAGGAAUUGCAUUCGAUACUGGGAAGCUAGAGUAUGGGAGAGGAUGGUAGAAUUCCAGGUGUAGCGGUGAAAUGCGUAGAGAUCUGGAGGAAUACCGAUGGCGAAGGCAGCCAUCUGGCCUAAUACUGACGCUGAGGUACGAAAGCAUGGGGAGCAAACAGGAUUAGAUACCCGCGUAGUCCCUGUCUCUUAUAA